ACGGGGCCGCACAAGCGGUGGAGUAUGUGGUUUAAUUCGAUGCAACGCGAAGAACCUUACCUGGUCUUGACAUCCCGGAGACCCUUAGGAAACUAGGGGGUGCUUCCAUCUGGAAGAAUCUGGAGACAGGUGCUGCAUGGCUGUCGUCAGCUCGUGUCGUGAGAUGUUGGGUUAAGUCCCGCAACGAGCGCAACCCUUGCCUUUAGUUGCCAGCAGUUCGGCUGGGCACUCUAAAGGGACUGCCGGUGUUAAACCGGAGGAAGGUGGGGAUGACGUCAAGUCCUCAUGGCCUUUAUGACCAGGGCUACACACGUACUACAAUGGCCGAUACAAAGGGCAGCGACACUGCGAGGUGAAGCCAAUCCCGUAAAAUCGGUCUCAGUCCGGAUUGGAGUCUGCAACUCGACUCCAUGAAGUUGGAAUCGCUAGUAAUCGUGGAUCAGCAUGCCACGGUGAAUACGUUCCCGGGCCUU
This 473-nucleotide ribosomal RNA is filed under the name uncultured Desulfobulbus sp. RNAcentral describes it as "bacterial SSU rRNA". It matches the Rfam family "Bacterial small subunit ribosomal RNA", at positions 917 to 1381 of the family's 1533-position model. Lineage: Bacteria; Pseudomonadati; Thermodesulfobacteriota; Desulfobulbia; Desulfobulbales; Desulfobulbaceae. The record is from RNAcentral.